AACGAACGCUGGCGGCAUGCCUAACACAUGCAAGUCGAACGAAGCCUUCGGGCUUAGUGGCGCACGGGUGCGUAACACGUGGGAAUCUGCCCUUCGGUUCGGAAUAACAGUUAGAAAUGACUGCUAAUACCGGAUGAUGACGUAAGUCCAAAGAUUUAUCGCCGAAGGAUGAGCCCGCGUAAGGAUUAGGUAGUUGGUAGGGUAAUGGCCUACCAAGCCGACGAUCCUUAGCUGGUCUGAGAGGAUGAUCAGCCACACUGGGACUGAGACACGGCCCAGACUCCUACGGGAGGCAGCAGUGGGAAUAUUGGACAAUGGGCGAAAGCCUGAUCCAGCAAUGCCGCGUGAGUGAUGAAGGCCUUAGGGUGUAAGCUCUUUACCAGGGAUGAUAAUGACAGUACCUGGAGAAUAAGCUCCGGCUAACUCCGUGCCAGCAGCCGCGGUAAU
Molecule: ribosomal RNA, 447 nt
Filed under: uncultured bacterium
Lineage: Bacteria
Description: bacterial SSU rRNA
Rfam family: Bacterial small subunit ribosomal RNA
Source: RNAcentral